This 384-nucleotide ribosomal RNA is filed under the name uncultured bacterium. Its description in RNAcentral is "bacterial SSU rRNA". It matches the Rfam family "Bacterial small subunit ribosomal RNA", at positions 28 to 416 of the family's 1533-position model. The record is from RNAcentral.
GACGAACGCUGGCGGCGUGCUUAACACAUGCAAGUCGAGCGGAAAGGCCCUUUCGGGGGUACUCGAGCGGCGAACGGGUGAGUAACACGUGAGUAAUCUGCCCUUGGCUUUGGGAUAACCACCGGAAACGGUGGCUAAUACCGGAUAUGACGGGCUCCGGCAUCGGGUUCGUGGAAAGUUUUUCGGCCAGGGAUGUGCUCGCGGCCUAUCAGCUUGUUGGUGGGGUAAUGGCCUACCAAGGCUUCGACGGGUAGCCGGCCUGAGAGGGUGACCGGCCACACUGGGACUGAGACACGGCCCAGACUCCUACGGGAGGCAGCAGUGGGGAAUAUUGGACAAUGGGCGGAAGCCUGAUCCAGCAACGCCGCGUGAGGGAUGACGGCC